Molecule: ribosomal RNA, 253 nt
Filed under: uncultured bacterium
Lineage: Bacteria
Description: partial 16S ribosomal RNA
Rfam family: Bacterial small subunit ribosomal RNA
Source: RNAcentral
UACGUAGGGUGCAAGCGUUGUCCGGAAUUAUUGGGCGUAAAGAGCUCGUAGGCGGUUUGUCGCGUCUGCUGUGAAAACCCGAGGCUCAACCUCGGGCCUGCAGUGGGUACGGGCAGACUAGAGUGCGGUAGGGGAGAUUGGAAUUCCUGGUUUAGCGGUGGAAUGCGCAGAUAUCAGGAGGAACACCAAUGGCGAAGGCAGAUCUCUGGGCCGUAACUGACGCUGAGGAGCGAAAGCUAGGGUACCAAACGGG